RNAcentral lists this non-coding RNA (1031 nucleotides) under Centipeda noxia ATCC 43541. Its description in RNAcentral is "bacterial LSU rRNA". It matches the Rfam family "Bacterial large subunit ribosomal RNA", at positions 174 to 1210 of the family's 2925-position model. Lineage: Bacteria; Bacillati; Bacillota; Negativicutes; Selenomonadales; Selenomonadaceae. The record is from RNAcentral.
GGAGAAAACACCCGAUGAACUGAAACAUCUAAGUAGUCGGAGGAAAAGAAAUCAAAGAGAUUCCCUGAGUAGCGGCGAGCGAAACGGGAAGAGCCCAAACCAAGAGACUUCGGUUUCUUGGGGUUGCGGACCUGCAACAAACCGGACACUUUAGUGGAAGCAUCUGGGAAGGUGCGGCAAAGAGAGUGAGACCCUCGUACACGAAAGAGUGAAAGGCGGGCAGGGAUCCAGAGUACCACAGGGCACGAGGAACCCAGUGGGAAGCAGGGUGGACCACCAUCCAAGGCUAAAUACAUCGAAACGACCGAUAGUGGAAAGUACCGUGAGGGAAAGGUGAAAAGAACCCCGGGAGGGGAGUGCAAAAGAACCUGAAACCGUAUGUCUACAAACAGUCGAAGCACAAUUUAACGUGCGACGGCGUGCCUAUUGAAGAAUGAACCGGCGAGUUAAUUUAUGCUGCGAGGUUAAGCGGGCGACGCGGAGCCGAAGCGAAAGCGAGUCUUAAGAGGGCUGUUAGUAGCAUGGAUUAGACCCGAAACCACAGUGAUCUAUGCAUGUCCAGGUUGAAGCUCAGGUAAAAAUGAGUGGAGGACCGAACCCGUGCGUGUUGAAAAACGUUGGGAUGAGGUGUGCAUAGGGGUGAAAUGCCAAUCGAACGUGGAGAUAGCUGGUUCUCCCCGAAAUAGCUUUAGGGCUAGCCUCAGGCGAAUCACCAUAGAGACGGUAGAGCACUGAUCGGGCAAGGGGGCGUAAAGCCUACCGACCCCAGUCAAACUACGAAUGGCUCAUAUGGGCAGCCUGGGAGUCAGAAUGCGAGUGAUAAGACCCGUAUUCAAGAGGGAAACAGCCCAGACCGCCGGCUAAGGUCCCAAAUGCUGUGCUAAGUGGAGAAGGAUGUAGGACUUCGAAAACAACCAGGAUGUUGGCUCAGAAGCAGCCACCAUUAAAAGAGUGCGUAAUAGCUCACUGGUCGAGAGGCCCUGCGCCGAAAAUAUCCGGGGCUAAAGCACAGAACCGAAGCCGCGGCAGGG